Molecule: ribosomal RNA, 497 nt
Filed under: uncultured bacterium
Lineage: Bacteria
Description: partial 16S ribosomal RNA
Rfam family: Bacterial small subunit ribosomal RNA
Source: RNAcentral
GAUGAACGCUGGCGGCGUGCCUAAUACAUGCAAGUCGAGCGAACGGACGAGAAUCUUGCUUCUCUGAUGUUAGCGGCGGACGGGUGAGUAACACGUGGAUAACCUACCUAUAAGACUGGGAUAACGUCGGGAAACCGGAGCUAAUACCGGAUAAUAGUGUGAACCGCAGGGUUCAAAAGUGAAAGACGGUCUUGCUGUCACUUAUAGAUGGAUCCGCGCUGCAUUAGCUAGUUGGUAAGGUAACGGCGUACCAAGGCAACGAUGCAUAGCCGACCUGAGAGGGUGAUCGGCCACACUGGAACUGAGACACGGUCCAGACUCCUACGGGAGGCAGCAGUAGGGAAUCUUCCGCAAUGGGCGAAAGCCUGACGGAGCAACGCCGCGUGAGUGAUGAAGGUCUUCGGAUCGUAAAACUCUGUUAUUAGGGAAGAACAUAUGUGUAAGUAACUGUGCACAUCUUGACGGUACCUAAUCAGAAAGCCACGGCUAACUACGUG